UGGGGAAUAUUGCACAAUGGGCGCAAGCCUGAUGCAGCCAUGCCGCGUGUAUGAACAAGGCCUUCGGGUUGUAAAGUACUUUCAGCGGGGAGGAAGGGAGUAAAGUUAAUACCUUUACUCAUUGACGUUACCCGCAGAAGAAGCACCGGCUAACUCCGUGCCAGCAGCCGCGGUAAUACGGAGGGGGCAAGCAUUAAUCGGUAUUACUGGGCGUAAAGCGCACGCAGGCGGUUUGUUAAGUCGGAUGUGAAAUCCCCGGGCUCAACCUGGGAACUGGAUCUGAUUCUGGCAAGCUUGAGUCUCGUAGAGGGGGGUAGAAUUCCAGGUGUAGCGAUGAAAUGCGUAGAGAUCUGGAGAAAUACCGGUAGCGAAGGCGGCCCCCUGGACGAAGACUGACGCUCAGGUGCGAAAGCGUGGGGAGCAAACAGG
RNAcentral lists this ribosomal RNA (429 nucleotides) under Chloroflexota bacterium. RNAcentral describes it as "Chloroflexi bacterium partial 16S ribosomal RNA". It matches the Rfam family "Bacterial small subunit ribosomal RNA", at positions 355 to 776 of the family's 1533-position model. The record is from RNAcentral. Lineage: Bacteria; Bacillati; Chloroflexota.